This is a long non-coding RNA of Daphnia magna, 843 nucleotides long. RefSeq lists it as uncharacterized. The transcript has 4 exons. The record is from RefSeq and is a predicted model, not a curated record. NCBI's taxonomy places the organism in Eukaryota, Metazoa, Arthropoda, Branchiopoda, Diplostraca, Daphniidae.
UUGAAGGUGCGGUUACGUGUUGUUAGACUCUUCGCCAGUGUCCCCUUUCGUGGGUACUGGCCAACCAAACCCUGCGGACCCGACAAAAAAUAGAAAAAGAAAACGAACGGAGCCGCUUCCCAUCGGACUUGGCGCGCACAGCCAUUUUUGCCUGGUCAAUGCCCGCUAUUAGUCGCUCUUUCGACAAAAACCCACCACCCAGCUCAAGAUUCCAAGACGCAUCAGUUGUACAAUGAAGAAGAAAGAAAAAAUAAUAAGGCAAAGGGGAGGCGAAGAAAAAAAAUAAAAAACGGUGAACGUCAAGGCAGAAAGGUGAGGAAUAGAGAAAAGGGAUGAAAAGGGGAACAGACAAGAGAAAUGCAAUGAAAUGGGCAGAAAAGGGAGGAGCCCGCCAGGUAAGGCAAUCUUAUGUAUCCAAUGGCACAGAAGGCGGAAGAAAUAAGCAACGAAGGGGUCGCCAUGAACUUUAACAAUCUGAUAGAAGAUUCUGAAAGAGAUGAAAAAUGACGUAGAAAGGAAGAAAGAAAAAAAAAAAAGAACGAAAUGCAUGAAUAAGGGAGAGGCAGGUAAAGGAAAGGAAGAGAGGGAGAUGAACCGUUAUUCGACUACCUGUUUGUGAAGGCCAAGUUGUUAGCCAGUCAGAGAGAUAGCCAUUGAGUUGGCCGUCAGCUGGCACGUAUUCAGUUCCGCCGAUCCAAACCCGCCACCAGCCGAAUCUCAUCCUGAAGCAUUUAACACAAACAGGCAGCGACACCGUCAAACGUACAACUUGACGAACCCCUUCACUUUAGACUUGUAGCAUAUCCAAUUAUUUAUACUGCACAUUACACAGGCACAAACACA